Long non-coding RNA from Ostrea edulis (European flat oyster), 569 nucleotides. RefSeq lists it as uncharacterized. The transcript has 5 exons. Lineage: Eukaryota; Metazoa; Mollusca; Bivalvia; Ostreida; Ostreidae. The record is from RefSeq and is a predicted model, not a curated record.
AGGAAGUCAGCCAUUGUGACGAUGUAGUAGUGUACUUCCGUAAAAACUGAAGUCCCAUGUUGCGGCGAGUGUUGGCACGAUAGGAAAUCGUUUCCCUCGGGUCAUACGGCCUCUGCCUGGUAUGGAAUGACGUUCCUGGCAAUUUACAUACAUCUACGUAUCUCACGUCGAUGGAGAAGGUUGCGUCUAUUCUGUGCUUUGGUACAGAUGUUGGUGCUUUGCUUUGCUUUGUAUGCCGGAGUGAGUCGUUUCCAGGACAACGCUCAUCGUCCAAUAGACAUCUCUGCUGGUGCAGUAAUAGGAAUCAUCUUUGCCCUGACAACGGUCUUUUCAACUCCUAUAUUGUUCAAGGAUAUACGAACAUUAAUUUAUGCACAUGGUCAAAAUGGAACAACAGAGUAUAUCGGAGAAAGAGCCGUAACUCUGUCACACCCAGUCAAUAAGAUGGAGCUGUAAAGGUAUCGCACAUCGGUCAAAGUCGAUCUCGACAUUUUCUCCAAAAUGAACGCGCUGCACCACCUUUCAUAAGAAGAUAAAGACGUAGAAGAAAAAUAAAAUAUAUGAACUUA